GAUCCUGGCUCAGGAUGAACGCUGGCGGCGUGCUUAACACAUGCAAGUCGAACGAAGCGCUUUAAUCGAUUUCUUCGGAUUGAAAUUUUAGUGACUGAGUGGCGGACGGGUGAGUAACGCGUGGGUAACCUGCCUCACACAGGGGGGAUAACAGUUGGAAACGGCUGCUAAUACCGCAUAAGCGCACGGUACCGCAUGGUACAGUGUGAGAAACUCCGGUGGUGUGAGAUGGACCCGCGU
RNAcentral lists this ribosomal RNA (240 nucleotides) under uncultured bacterium. Its description in RNAcentral is "partial 16S ribosomal RNA". It matches the Rfam family "Bacterial small subunit ribosomal RNA", at positions 15 to 236 of the family's 1533-position model. The record is from RNAcentral.